Molecule: transfer RNA, 73 nt
Filed under: Apaloderma vittatum (bar-tailed trogon)
Lineage: Eukaryota; Metazoa; Chordata; Aves; Trogoniformes; Trogonidae
Rfam family: tRNA
About the family: Transfer RNA (tRNA) molecules are approximately 80 nucleotides in length. Their secondary structure includes four short double-helical elements and three loops (D, anti-codon, and T loops).
Source: Rfam by way of RNAcentral
GCCCUAGUGGCCUCAUGGAUAAAGUACUGGCCUUCUAAGUCACGGAUCAUGGGUUCGAGUCCCACCUCGGGUA